RNAcentral lists this small RNA (110 nucleotides) under human gut metagenome. RNAcentral describes it as "drum RNA". It matches the Rfam family "drum RNA". From Rfam's summary of the family: Firmicutes, Bacteroidetes (1 example), Proteobacteria (2 examples), Spirochaetes (2 examples). Terminator (Clostridia) The record is from RNAcentral.
AGCAUUGAAGCAGAUGAUGGGGUUAGUUUUCCGCACAUCUGUGGAGCUUUGGAAAGGGUUCAAGACAUAUCCACAGACUAACUCAGGCUUAUGCUGAAAGAAAAUGUCUU